GGGAAUCCGGUGCGAAUCCGGGACUGCCCCGCAACGGUGUGCGAGCGCGGACCACGGCCCUUUCCUCAAGGGCCGGUCGCGCGCUCCCGAGUCCGAAGACC
RNAcentral lists this non-coding RNA (101 nucleotides) under Streptomyces sp. The record is from RNAcentral. Lineage: Bacteria; Bacillati; Actinomycetota; Actinomycetes; Kitasatosporales; Streptomycetaceae.